UACGUAGGUGGCGAGCGUUAUCCGGAUUUACUGGGUGUAAAGGGUGUGUAGGCGGGGGAUCAAGUCAGAUGUGAAAACCACAGGCUCAACCUGUGACCUGCAUUUGAAACUGGUUUUCCUGAGUGUCGGAGAGGUAAAUGGAAUUCCCGGUGUAGCGGUGAAAUGCAUAGAUAUCGGGAGGAACAUCUGUGGCGAAGGCGAUUUACUGGACGACAACUGACGCUGAGACACGAAAGCGUGGGGAGCAAAC
Molecule: ribosomal RNA, 250 nt
Filed under: uncultured prokaryote
Description: partial 16S ribosomal RNA
Rfam family: Bacterial small subunit ribosomal RNA
Source: RNAcentral